Molecule: ribosomal RNA, 309 nt
Filed under: uncultured bacterium
Lineage: Bacteria
Description: partial 16S ribosomal RNA
Rfam family: Bacterial small subunit ribosomal RNA
Source: RNAcentral
AGAGACAGCAGCAGCCGCGGUAAUACGUAGGUCCCGAGCGUUGUCCGGAUUUAUUGGGCGUAAAGGGAGCGCAGGCGGUUUAGUAAGUCUGGAGUUAAAGGCAUUGGCUCAACCAAUGUAUGCUUUGGAAACUGUUUGACUUGAGUGCAGAAGAGGAGAGUGGAAUUCCACGUGUAGCGGUGAAAUGCGUAGAGAUGUGGAGGAACACCAGUGGCGAAGGCGACUCUCUGGUCUGUAACUGACGCUGAGGAGCGAAAGCGUGGGGAGCGAACAGGAUUAGAUACCCGUGUAGUCCCUGUCUCUUAUACA